GACGAACGCUGGCGGCGUGCCUAAUACAUGCAAGUUGAGCGCUGAAGGUUGGUACUUGUACCAACUGGAUGAGCAGCGAACGGGUGAGUAACGCGUGGGGAAUCUGCCUUUGAGCGGGGGACAACAUUUGGAAACGAAUGCUAAUACCGCAUAAAAACUUUAAACACAAGUUUUAAGUUUGAAAGAUGCAAUUGCAUCACUCAAAGAUGAUCCCGCGUUGUAUUAGCUAGUUGGUGAGGUAAAGGCUCACCAAGGCGAUGAUACAUAGCCGACCUGAGAGGGUGGUCGGCCACAUUGGGACCGAGACGCGGCCCAAACGCCUACGGGAGGCAGCAGUAGGGAAUCUUCGGCAAUGGGCGCAAGUCUGACCGAGCUACGCCGCGUGCGUGGAGAAGGUGUUCGGGUCGUAAAGCUCUGUUGGUAGAGAAGAACGUUGGUGAGAGUGGAAAGCUCAUCAAGUGACGGUAACGACCCAGAAAGGGACGGCUAACUACGUG
RNAcentral lists this ribosomal RNA (497 nucleotides) under uncultured bacterium. RNAcentral's name for it is "partial 16S ribosomal RNA". It matches the Rfam family "Bacterial small subunit ribosomal RNA", at positions 28 to 507 of the family's 1533-position model. The record is from RNAcentral.